UUUUUUUUUUUUUGUUUCAGCAUUUAUAUAUAAUUUGAAAAACACUAAGGUGGUUGGGAUGGUGUGGGUAGUGGGAGUUUGGGCGUGACGAACAGUGGUAAAGCCAAAAUUUUCAUCAAGGGGUUCAAAAUCUGAAGAGUAAACACACAAACUAGCUGAAGGGGGUUCAACAUUUAUUAUAUAUACAUAAAAAAAUAUUUUAUCCAUGUAUAAAUAGUAUAAUUUUCUGUCGAACCCUGAACUCAAGGUGGGUCCACCCCUGGUGACGAAGGUUGGAAUGAUCAAGAGAUAGGGAUUAGAUGCCGUUGGGAUGAAGAGGAGACAAUAAACUUGAAAGACUAUUUAUGAAAUCUAUUUUCUCUACUCAUACUAAAAAGCCAUUUUUCUUAUUAUUUUUAAAAAAAAUUAUUUUUUCAGGAAAAAAUAUUUCGACCAUCCCAAUUAUCUCUUGAAAAUGUAAUUAUGGUUUUCUAAGAGAUAAAUUGGGUGGGGAACAGAAAAUUUGGCAAAUAAAGCAGCUAAGAAAAAUAUAUACUAUAAGGUAGUAUUACUAAUUUCACUUUCCUAAAAUGUGUAACACUGUUCACAUUUAUUGGAGCAAAGUUGAAAAAGUGACAAUCUCCACAUAUUCAGGGAAUUGUUUAAUUGCCUAAGAUUUUUACAUCAACGACAACGAACAGUUGAUAUAUGUAUUUUAUGUACGUUUUAUCACUUAACAUGCAUGUUGUUACAUCAUUAUAUUACUUAAUCGUGAUUAAAUGACGUACGUGUACAUACGUAUUUGGUAUAAAUAACAAAUGUAUAAUCUAUUCAAUCUCAGAAGGAUUUUUUAAUAAACAUUUGAUUUAUUUUUAGGUUCGACUAAUUCAAAUUUUCACCACAAAAUCUCAUUUUGUGAGGUAAAACAUUCUCUACUAAAGACAAUUUUAUACUCGUAACUCAAACCUAAAAUCUCUCACCAGAAAAUCUCAUUUGACUAAUUUGAAUUCUCACUAGAAAGUCUCAUUUUGUGAGGUAAAAUACUCUGUACCAAAGAUAACUUUAUACUCGUACCUCUAAUUAAAAAUAAAUAAAUAUUUAUCACUUCACCGUAACUUAAAAAAACACAAAAUCAUCUCUAUUUACUCUUUAAAAAGAAUCUUUCAGUAUCCCUCUUUGUAACCUCUGACCCGUCUAUUGGCAGACCAAUUUUAGUGUCAUACAAUGACAAUACAUUCUCUUGAAGUAAGUGUAAGGGGUUGGUGGGGUGGGGGAUGUAAAAAGAAAAAAUACAAGAAAAGGGGGAAUUAACGAUGACUCAUUGCAAUAAUAAAUAAAUAUUGGGAUAUUUUUAAAAAUUAUACAUUACAUCACAAAAUAUUAUAUCAAUGUAGUCAUAUUUUUAGUUUAUACAUGCAUAACUAACUUGCUUUUGCAAUAGAGUAGUAUUUAUACACAUGAUAUACAAAAUUAUACACAACUUUAUACAUUUAGUCAUGAAGACAAUGCAUUAAUCUUGUAUAAAUAUGUAUAAUAAUAAUGUAUAAGAAAUGGUUAUACUAUAUGUUUACAUAAUGAUACAAAAUUAUUGAAUUUUGCCUACUAUAAACUUCAACCCACAAAAAUGAAAAAAAAUCCACCAAAUUAUUACUCAAAUAAAAAUUCGAAAUAUGUCCUUCGGAUGGUUCAGUUGGUUUGGACUUUGGAGGGUGGUUAUCCACACAGAUGAUUCAGGAUUGAUCCCCACUCAAUGCCUUUUGAGUUGAGCUUGUUGUGCGAUUUAUAUCCUCUGUGUUGUUUGCAGGCUAUUACACAGUGAGAGGUUUAUUCGAUGCGCACAAAGUGCUCACCCGAAGGACAGAAGCUGUGACAGAGAUUGUAACAACUACGGAUUAUCCUGGUGUUCUAAAAAAAAAUCAAAAUACUUAAUAAUAUCGGAUCAUAUUUUUUUUAAAAACGUGUUAUGUUGUUAUACUAAUCUAUUAAAUGAAAAAAAGGUAUAUAUAUAUAUAUAUAUAUAUAUAUAUAUAUAUAUAUAUAUGGUGAUAUAUGGUGUUCUUUGUCUAUUGGAAAAUCAACUUUUAUGUAUCCAAAAAGAGCUAAAAGUUGUUGGACACGUCAUUGAAGGUGCCACACAAUUUUUAAUGCCCAAAGAAGUCUUAAUUUGGGGUGAAAAACUUCAAAGGAAAAAUUAGUUAGAUAGUACCUUUUAAUAAAUAAUUACUGAUUUUAGCGAUAUUUUUUAUUUAUUAUCAUUUAUAGCAAUACAUAGCAAUAUUAUGUUAAAUCUGCAAUAUGUAUUAAAAGUAAAUUAGGUAUGCAAUAUAUAUGUAUUAUAACUGGUUUUUUUAAAUAUAUUAUGCUUGUUUGGUAAGAAAUUGACACAAUUGUAUUAUAAAUGUAUUAAAAUGUGUGAUAAAUGUAUUAUCUAUCAAUAAAACUUGUAUUAUAUGUGAAUAAUAAACUGUUCUUUGUAAUAUAUAUUAAAACUGUAUUAUAAAUACAGAAAAGGGUCAAAAUUGCCUCUGAACUAUGCGAAAUAGUACACUUAUACCCUCCAUUACAUUGUAUUAUAUGUGAAUAAUAAACUGUUCUUUGUAAUAUAUAUUAAAACUGUAUUAUAAAUACAGAAAAGGGUCAAAAUUGCCUCUGAACUAUGCGAAAUAGUACACUUAUACCCUCCAUUACAUUUUUGGGAUAAAAAAUACCCCCGCCGUUAUCCCAGGAGACCACAAAUACCCUCAAGAGUUAACACCCCAAUUUUUUAGUGACGUGGCAAGCCACGUGGGACUAAUCCCUCCACCUAAGCUUUGCCAACUAAGAUUCACUACAAAAGACUUGACCUUUAGUGGCGACAAAGUCGCCACAAAUUUCCAAAAUAAUUGCCGCUAAAGGUUGAGUGACUUUUAGUGGCGACUAAGGCUCCAACAACCAUUCGCUAGUAAAACCUAUUUUUUCAACAAAAAAAUAUGAUAAUUAAUUUUCGAUUGCAACCUAAUUUUCUAAAAUAAAUAACUUGCAAUAUUAAUAUUAAAAACAUACAAUAUUAUUACGAAAAACCAUCAAAAUUACUUCUCGAUUCAAAUCUCCUACUAUAUAAUGCAUCAUUGUACAUUUUAUACAUUUACAUAUGACAUAAAAAUAAAACAUACAGUGUCUUCAAACUCCUACUUAAUCAAUAUCAUUUUUGUUUUUAAAAACUAAUGAAAAAAAAACACAAAAUUAGAAUUAAUGUUAAAAACUUUUAGUGACGAUUUUCUGGGCUUUUGUGGCGAAUGUUGUUGCCACUAAAGGUCUAGUUCUUUGUAGUGAAUCCUAGUUGGCAACGCUAGGUGGAAGGAUUAGUCCCACGUGGCUUGCCACGUCAAUAAAAAUUUGGGGUGUUAACUCUUGAGGGUAUUUGUGGUCUCUUAGGAUAACAGUAGGGGCAUUUUUUAUCCCAAAAUAUAACAAAGGGUAUAAGUGAUCUAUUUCACAUAGUUCAGGGGCAAUUUUGAUCCUUUUUCGAAUAUAUUACAAGUGAUUUAGUGAAAAAAAAUGUUAUUGCUAUAAUGGUAAAUAUUUUUUCAAUGCAGUAUACUUAUAUAAGUUUCCCAAAUUUUAAUGGGUUGAGUUAUAUACAAAACUGUGUGUUUAUGAAAUUUUAUGUCAUUGAUAUAAUUAGAUCGAAAAGCUUCUAAGAAAGUCAGCCGAAUAAAAUAGGGUCUUGCUUAAUUGUGAAAGAAGGAAUUUUGGUUAAAACGUAGAUAUUGUACCACAAGAAUUGUUACUGACAUUUUACACCUAUAACUUUAAAGAUGAGCCACUAAUAAUCCAACGCCUAAUAAAAGUAGAGAAAAUUUUAGAAAUAGCAAACAUAAUACACAUAAUAAGGCUCUAUAGCUAUAGUUUCAAUAAUUGUGCUCUAUAAUAAUAGUUUCAUUUGCUAUGGAGGCUGCGGUUUGUAUAUUUCUGUCCGUUUGUUUAUUUCGCUUGUGAAUAUACCACUAGGGUAAGUAUAUACAAAUUAUGUAUUUAGACAUUUAGGAAUUUUUUAGAACUCCAUUUGUAUAUUUCAUUUGACAAUAUACAAAGAUGGUAAUUUAUUAUGAUUUUUUCAUAAAUCGUAUACAAAUAACUAGGAUAAGCAUAUACAAAAUUCUGAAUUUGUACAAUCAGAAACCAAAUUAUACAAAUCAGGCAAAUAAGAAUAAUCGGAGAAAUCGUAGCCACAAAUUACAAUGUUCUUAAACUAUAGCUAUAGUACCUAAUAUAUAUAGGCUAAAUGUUUGCUAUUCUGCAUAAUUUUUCCAUAAAAGUACUAUCAGAAACGAAAAUAUACUAGAUAGGUGUGUACAUGACCAGGUGGAUUUGAUUCUUUUUUUAAAUAUCGUGUCAAAUCAUUUGUGUAAAAUUUUUAAAUUUAUAAAAUCAAACCAAACUAAUACAACUCAAUUUUUUUAACCUCAGAUUUUUUCAGAUUUGUGUCAUUAAAAAGUCAUAACGAAAAUGAUCAUAAUUUAAAAGUGGUAAAUCAUUAUAACAAGUCUAACAAGUAUUAAUUACAUGAUUAAACAUUAAAGAAGAAUUAAAUUAGCUUAUGUAUUUUAAAUGUCUAAACCAAUGUAAAACUAAAGAACAAAUAUUUAACAUUAUUGUCAUUUUUAGUGUUGAAUUUUUUAUUUUUUUAGCAUUAGUAUUGAUUUGAUUUUGAUUUGGGCUUUAUUAGAGUUACUAAUAUGAAAAGUUACCUAAAUACACAACUUAUUUUACCAUAUUUUUUGAAUUCCCUAUCAUUUGGAAAAUUUAUAAAAAUUUCUACUCUCUCCUAUUCUCAAAUACAUCAAUUUACGCGAUGUAUCGAUCGGAUACUGUCACUCCCUGAGCCUACACCCUAGACGUGGUCGGCACUCGAGAACUAUUGUUGGCUCCAAGCGAACCUUUGGCCUGACUCAACUCUCAGCGGAAGACUUACUCAUCAAUUAAUUAACUCAAAACAUAAUUUUACUCAUAGUCUUUAAAAGAAAUAACUUAUAAUUUAUCAGAACAAUCACUGGCCAAUGAACAACUCAAGUCUUAAACAUUAACAAUAGAAAUGAAAGGAUUCCUCAACUACUACUGUUUAUGAAGCCUCUACUAACUGAGAUGAACGUCGGGACAAGAUCCAUGACAUUCUAAUAAACAAAGCUGAAAAUGUAAACUCAAUGUGAAACCCUCUGGAAAGCAAGGAGGCUCACCAACUCUAGCUGAAACACGAUUGGAUCAACGGAGCGCCGGUUGAUGAUCCUGAUUACCUGUAUCUGCGUCAUAAAAUGAUGCAAACCAAAUGUCGUCAUUGAAUGUACGAGCAUGUAAGGGGAACUCUAAAGCAUAGACAUAUAAUCUUGAACUGGAAGGAAAGGAACAUACUUACCUCACCUCAACUCAACUCAACCUCAACUCAAGGAAUACUCAAAGAUACUCAAAAUUUACUCAAACUCAGGGAUGUUCAACUCAGUUCAAUAUAAAACGGUAAUAAAAAUGCAUUAUAAAGAAAGCUUUUAAAACCGUAGAUAAUAACUCAAAGUAUUUAAAAAUACAAUAAUAACUCAAUUUGUAUAUAAAGAUACAAAAUAACUCAAUCUGAGAGAUUCUCUAACCGACAACCAUCGCUAUGAGCUAUGUGAUGAUACAACUUCUCGUCCACGCUACCAGAAUUGUCUUAUACCUUGCCGGAGUAUAAGACAUCCUCAACUUAGGGGAUCCACUAAGCUAUGCUUAAAAAGCAAUAAGGAAUCAUCUAAAAAAUAUGAUAUUUUCUACCCAUGUUGGCUACAUGGUUUAUGAAGACUUUGAGUUGUUUGAACUCAUCCUCAUAUCGGUGCUCAAUACUACUCCCAAAAUAUACUCAACUCAUAUGUUUAAAACCAUUUCCUCAUCCUCAAACUUUGAGAUUAUUACUCAAAAGAUUUCUCUUAAAAGAGAUAGUACUCAAAACUCCACAUAACUCAUUUGGAAAUCAAAGUUUCCUCCUUAUUUUAAAUGUAAAAACAUUUACUCUUGGAAUACUUAGUUCCCAUAUAUUCAUUUUGAAAAAUGAAAUUCAACUCUCCUCAUCCUCAUACUCAAGUCUUAAAACAAGUUUUAAAAGAUUGUAAAAGACUCUUCAACAUGACUCGAAAGAACUCUCAAGACUUUACUCUUAACUCUACCUUGAAUUUAAAUUAUGAAUUCAAGGGUUAUGAUUCAUGUUAUGAAUGAUCUCUCGAUAUUUAGAUGUAGUUUAGAAUGGUUAGAAUCAGAAAGGAGUGAAGGUAUCCUUUAAAAGAACUCAGACAAGCCAACCGACGGAAAAAAUGAGUGGGGGCAGGUGACCCUGGCGUCAACCUUUAAACUAUAGAACAUAUUUUCUGGCGCACUGCUGGGGCGGCGCGCCAGCCCUUACCCAGAACUUUUCGAUGAAUUUUCUUCUUCGAUUUUAGGCCCGAAUUCACCUAGAAUCGAAUGGUUUGUUUCAAACUCUGUUAGAUUCGUUUAACCAACUUAAUUACAUGAAAGUACACUCGAAAACAACCCUCAAACUCCUAACAUUCAUCUCAAAAAUUUAUCAAACCUCAUUAAUCAAAGAACGAAACUCAAACUUACUCAUCAAGAAUUCAAUAUACCCAAACUUGUAGAUGAAAUUCGUGAAAGAAACUCAUGAUUGGUGUGUAGGUGAACGAACCCAUAACUAUGAAAGCUUACAUACCUCGAUUUGACGAAACAAAUUCUCAAUUCGAACGAAAUCUUGAUCGUUCUUCCUUUUCUCCUAUUUUCUCCUCUUGAACUCUCUUCUAAAACCCUAAGCGUAAUUUAGAAUUGUGAAAACUGACCCAAAUCAGUUUAGACCCCUAAAGUAUUACUAAAAACAUUUAAAGCUGAUGGGGGUAAGGAAAAUACCAAAAUACCCCUCAUUAAUUCGGGUAAAUUUCCUUAACUGAACUUGAUGACUUCAAACAGGCAUAUCUCCCUCAUUCGAACUCAAAAUCUAACAAACUCGAUGGCGUUGGAAAGAAGAUUCCAAGACCUUUCAUUUGAUAUCGUAUGGGCCACCUAACUCAUCCUUUACUCAAAGUUAUGGUUGUUUGAAGUUGACCAAAAACUCACAACUUAAGCAUAACUUGAUAAAUUCUCAAAUUAGCUCUUUCCAAAUUAGUUCUGGCUAAACUUAGUUCUUUCUAAGGCGGGAUGCUAUAGAUACAUCCUUUACAUGAUGUAUGGGGACGUGCUCGAUGUAUUGAGUCGUUGAGUGAUGUAUUCGAAAUCGAGACACGAUGAAUCGGGACGUUGAGCGCUGUAUUCGGAACUAUAGGAUGCGAUGUAUCAAAAUAUUUUGGGACAUAUUCGGAUUCCACCAAAUUUAAGAAAUUUUUGUAAUUUGAAAAGGAGUAGAGAUAGGAUGUAAUUAACUCUUAACACUGGUCGUUUGGUGUGAUGGAUAAGGGGAAUUAAUCCCCAGAUAAUUUUUAAGUAGCCUCUAAUCCUUUGUUUGGUUGCAUAGCUUGGGAAUAACUUAUCCCAGGAUUAAUAAUUAGUAUUGGGAUAAGUUAUCCCUCCCUUUGGGUGGUAUAGUAAUUCCGAGAUAACUUAUCCCGGAAUAAAAUACAUAAAUGACAAAUAUAUCCCUUUAAACUCUAUUUAUACCCCACUUUUCACAUUUAUGUAUAACUAUUUUUAAAAGUCUUCAACCACCUUAAUCUUAAAUAAUUCUUUUACAAAAAAAAGUUAUUACUAAAAAUAAAUUAUGUAAUACAAAAUUAUAGUACAAAUCUUAUUAUAAAUUUGAUUUUUCACCAAACAAAAAUAUUAGCACAUGUCCUCCGGAUUCCCCCCACCCCCACCCUCCCUACAUUAUUUUUUGAUACCAUGUAUAAUAAUAUUCACUACUCAUUAUUUUUAUGAUAAUUCUUCAUAUUUUUCUAUUAAGAUAUUACACUAUAUAAAUAUAAUUUUUAUUUAUAAAUUUAUUUGACUAAUUCUUAUGUUUAUUUAUAUUUUGAUUUCUCAUAAAUCCUCUUUUACUUUAACAAACGCAAGAUGGAAAUUCUAUUUUAAGCUAAAUAAGAAAAUAGUUUUAUUUUUAAAUACAUACGGCACCAUUGUGGGAGUGCACACACAAAAUUAUUUAAGCUAAAUAAGAGGAAAUUAUUUUAAAAAAUGAAUAAUUAAAGCUCGCAAAGAAUAUAAAAAAAAAAAAACUAAAUAAAGUGAAGAGUAAUUUUGUAAACAAACAACUUGUUCUUAAAAUUUAUGCAAUGCAUAUUAUUUUGAAUACAACAAACCAACACUCAAUAAUAAAUAAUCACAACAUAACUUAUCCCAUCAUAACUUGUUUUCAAACCAAAUGACCCCUGAGAGUUGUGUAAAAUUCUCUUACUAAUAUCUAUGAAUUACAACUUUUAUGGGACCAUUCCAAAUUCUAAGUCUCAAAAACUUGAAAUAAUAUGUUAAAAGAUAAAAAUAUGAAACAAUAUAAGAAAUAUUUAGAAAUUAUAUCAAAGUAAAUACUUUUAUAUAUAAAAUAAAUUUUAAAAAUUAUAUAUAUAAUUUCGGAUUAGUUUGGUUUCAACUGACUUUCUUUAUAGUUAAAAUCAAACCAAUCCAAGUAUAGUCUGAAUUUUUUUUCUAUACCAAAUCAAGUCAAACCAAACCAUUAGUCAAUUUUUGUUUUUGUCAAUUUAACUAAAUUUGCAGUUUAAUUCAAUUUUCGAUUCUAUUUUGUACAUCCUAAUACUACUAGACAUCUUUCAUGCUUUGGACGAUGUUAACUUUGAUCGAGCGAAUAAAGAAGAUCACUCGGCCUCGUUAAAAAGACUGAAUUUGUUGGUUAUUUGCUAAAGAAAUUGUCAUUUGUUUAGUUCGUAUUUAUGUAAGUCUUUAUAUUUGUUGGUUUUUUUCAUUUUUGGGCUGAUGGUAAAGAUCAAUUACGAUCGCCAACCAAAAUAUACAAAAACUUAUACAGUAGUCAUGUCAUAUAUAUUAUGGGAUUUUUUUUUUCUAGUUAGAACGGUUUGGUACAUAUAUUCAUAUUUAUGAUAUGCAUGUUUAUAUUUGAUAUAUAAAAUAUAUACAUUUGCCAGCUAUUAUUUUUCGAGGAGAGAGGCAAAUCCUUUUAUUUGUCCUAAGAAGACUAGUUAUUUAUAAUAUAUACAAAACAUAUCUAUUUAUGUUAUUUUAAAAGCAUAAAGGUCCUUGCAAAUGCAGAUUGAACUUUUUUGUCUUUCAUUAAAAAAAAUUAUAAUAAAAAAAAUUGUUAUUUACUAUUUUCUCAAAUAAUUGUCAUUUAAUUAUUAUCCUAACAUUUAGAAGCUUGAAAUCAAAUCUUUACUUCUUCUUUUUUAUAAUAGGUAAGAAUUCUUAAUAUUUAAUACUUUAAAAUUAACUAAAAUUUUAUUUCUUAAAUUUUUAAUUAUUUGAACCAUAUAAAAUGUCCUAACAUUUAAGAUUUUAAAAUUAAUAUUUUCACCUUAUAUAAUUCUUACUUAUAUUAUGGAAAUUAAAAUAAAUAAAUAAAUUAAAAUAUGAAAAAAAGAGGUUCACAUUAUAAGAAAUAAUUUUCAACCUUUUUAUAUGAAUAUUUAUGGUUUAGAUUGAUAUAACAUUGUUUUGACAUCUAUAGCUACUUUUGAAUAACCUUGUUCUUUUUCUAUAUAGUUCUAUUGAUUGAAUAAAACACGUACACUAAAUGAGUACGCCUAUCAUGACUUGUUUCCUUGCAUAUUACACAUUGCUGAUUGUAUUUAGCUUCUCCAACAUCGAUCUGGUUGUGGUUUCGACGAGUUCGACACAAAUAACUUAUAUUAGCAAUUCUAGCAAAUGGUUUUAAAGAGCGAGAUGGUGGUUUUUGUUGUUCCCGCGAAGCGAAGAUCAUUCGCUUGGCGAAUAAAGUGGGUCACCCUCUUUUUGGCUUCGUCUUCGAUCUCUCUUCGCAACGCAUUUUAAGGGCUAAGACUUUCUCUCGACAUCUUUCUUUUAUUUAAGUCAUUGAUCUCAUAUCUAUAAGCAUUUUUUAUUGUUUCUUCAACAACUACUUGUAAAUGACGUGACAUAAAAAGGAAGUUAGGAAGUACUAUUUUAUUUAUUUAUAACCAAGAAAUCCAUCUGUGAUCCGCCCUUUGGACCUAUCACAGCCUUCUAAACUCGAUGGAUAAUGAGCCCGCCCCUAUACCCCUUCUCCACUUAAAUACCAGGCUUCGCUUUGCAUGGUGUGAGACUUGAACCUGCGACCUAAGCCACAAAUCCUCCACCUUUUGCCACUCGAGCUAGGCCUUGGGAGCAGGAAGCUAAUAUUAUUUAUAUUGAGAUCGAGAAAUUUCUACUCUAAGAUUCUCUGAGAUGGAGAAAACCUGUGCUUGAUAGAAUGUGAUUUGAAUUAUGACAGGACUGCACAUUCUGAAAAUGAUUUUUGAACAUAAAGGAAGAGGAAAGAAGUAGACAUUCAAGCUAGAUUAUACUUUGUUUCACUCAAAUUUUCAUGUAUGUUUAUUUUUACGUUGCAAUAGCAUCUAUUACCUUAUAUUUCUUUCUUUCUUUAAUACAAAAUACAAGUUCCACAUAUUUAUUGAUUGCAGUACCUCCUUGUGACGAAAAGUCAUAGGAUGGUGUAUAAUCUUGAAAGUCACGCAGCAGGAAAUUCUUCUGCACCUCGAGUCAUUCUGAGUCGAUCACUACAAUUAAAGCUUGGACUUGACGAUUUUCCCAUCAUCGAAUGUUAUCAUCACCUUGCCAAUUGCUCUCCUAUCUUUGAGAGCAGUAAAAGCAAGAUGGGCCUGCAAAAAGGCAACAAUAAUGUGCGUUGUUUCAAUCCUAUAACAAUCAACAAAAGCUAAAUCUCUACAAUAUUUGAAAGCUUAAAAACGCACCAGUGACAUAAAUAUGUAACAUAGCUUCUGAAAAAAACCUACACUUACCAUGAAUCCUUUCAGAUGAUAUCAUAAUGCAGUUUCCUAAUUUUACACUUAUUUUGUAUGAUGACUUCUAAGUCGCUUAAUCAUCCCAACAAGUGGUUGCUUUGUUGGAGGUGUUAUAUGAUUACAGUUAGUUUAAAGAUAUUCCUUACUUUGACGACGUAGGGAAAGAACACCAUUGUUUCCAGCUCAAUUUGCUAAGGCAUGGUGAAACCACUAUGCUAGGUUUUCCAAGAGCAUAAACAAUGAACUAGCUCCCUAACGCCUUGAAAAAGUCAUAGCUGGUUGAUCUAUAUUUUAUGAGGCAGUAAACUACCACUUUGACAUCAUUUAAGUGAGCUACACCUAAUGAUCUCAAAGUGAACACUUAACUUUGGGAUUCAAUGGUUUAUGCCAGCUAAUGUUGAGCAAG
This 11295-nucleotide long non-coding RNA is filed under the name Solanum tuberosum (potato). Its description in RNAcentral is "long non-coding RNA (STUB_LNC003793)". Lineage: Eukaryota; Viridiplantae; Streptophyta; Magnoliopsida; Solanales; Solanaceae. The record is from RNAcentral.